UAGGGGGGAGUGAGCAGCACCGGCAGGGCCAGGGGGCUGUGGGUGGUGCAUGAGGGGCCUGGCCCUGCAUCCUGGUGAGCUAAGGGGGCAGGGGGAGCUCUGACAUUCCAUGAUAAAAAACCCAAAAUCAAAUACCAAAAUGUAUAGGUAUUUAAUUUAUUUUACUACAGUGAUUGAGGCACUGGUAAGCUUCCAAACUGCUUUAAAAUUGUAAAUAUAUCAAUAAAACAUUAUGUUCCAUUAAUACCUAUAUAAAUAGUGGAGUUUCAUUUUAAUCACAGAUUUUGGGGAUUUUGUCAGAUAAUUUUUGGGGGGGGGGGGGUAUCAAGAAUUUGCAAUUUUUUUUAUCAGGGAAAACCAGGAUCCCUGCUAAUAAAGGAGGGGACCACGUCUUGAGGAACCUCUAAUUGGGGCAAAUUGAAAGCAAGAGACACACAGAGGGGCCCUUUAAUGGAUAAACAGCUUCAGCACAAACCCUUGUGAUGAAAAUAUGGUAAUGGCUUCCCCUGGGCUGGGCUGUGUUCAGAGGAACUGAUGCCAUCUCAACAGCUUCCAUCAGAACUAGAAAUGGGGAUAAUUGUUAUGUCAGACAGCCAGUGUGGCUGGACCUAGGAAGCUAGGUAAGGUUUACUCCAGAAGAAGGAUUUGCUCAUAGGCAAGGACUCUUAGGAGAUCUCCAGUGACUAUAGAAGAGUUGACUGAAGAGCACCCAGCCAGUCUGGGCAGAGCAGUGUGAAUGGGGCCUGGAGUUCUUGUUGGCUACUUUAGGGAAACCAUCUAGCUGGCUAUUGCCACAUCCUGACAAACUUUGACUUGGAUGCAAGGGGUUUGAUUAAUGACCUCUCUUUUUUCUGCUCUCUCUUUUUAACGUGCCACUUCUGUUCCUGGCCGUUCCGUGGUAUUGAAGGGCAGACUCCACACUACACCUAUGGGCAACAUGAGGUGCUGCUUCCUUCUGAACGAUUUUUCACAGUAAAUUGAACCUGCAGCAGCCUCUACCCUGUCCUCUCUUGGUCCUCUGGUUCAGUGGUGGCACAAGAGGUCAACAGCUCUGCUUGGCAGCCUGCCUCUAAUCAGCCCAUGACAUCUGCUCACUGGGCACUUUCUCCCAAAUGGCCCUUGGGUCAGGAUUCACUUCUGGGUAAGCUAGUGGUUCCUGCUUUGCCUUGCCAUACUCCAUGGAACAGAUGAAGGUUGCUCUUAGAAGAUUUGUAGUUACCACUCUUGGGCUCAGCCCUACAAGUUCAGGGCUGGUCCACACCAGUCCCCUUCAUUCUUUACUUGUGGCUUUUGUCUCUUACGUCCUGCACAGAGUUCUCCGGUUUCCUCUUUACCGCUUGUCCUUCUUAUUGUCAACUGAGCUCAAGCACUAUUUACAGCAGGGCUUUCAUGCUGGGAAAUGCCCCAGCUAUGUGUCAGGCAGCAGGAACAAACCAGAUCACUUUCACUCAUUUUCCUUCAUGCAAGGGAUGCUGUUUGAGGCCAUUACUUCCUGAGGGGGCUGGAAAACAGCAAGGAGAACUAAGCCUGGGAGGGACAAUUGGCUCAGGGCUCGCUUUACUGGCAAUUAAGAGGAGCAGGACCAGAGGCCAGAUGUGAUGUGAAGGGACCUGGAAACUGGGGGCAAAGGACAGUCUGCCAGGUUGGAGCUCAGAAUCCUGUUGGUGCUGCCUGAAUCAUUUAGUCAGGUUGCAAGGCAAAAGAAACAGCUGCAGGAAACAAAGAGAGCUGCCCUGUGUUGCUGUGACAGCGAUUGCUCCCAGGGAAGAGAGAGCGACAGGAGGUCUUUCCUGCGCUGGCAGAGGGAACAAAAAGAAACUAUUUCUACUGCCAGCAUCUCUCUAUUCCUGCUGCUUUCAUGGACAAUGGGUACUCUGGAUCAGAAGGCCUCAUCCUGUGCAGGAAAGUUUUGCCAAGAGCUGGGGCCAUCAACAAAAGAUUCCCCUGAGCUAGCAAUGCUUUUUGGCUCUGUCUGUUACAGCAAACACACCUUGGUGACUGUGCUGUGCAUCCAAGUUAAUUGAAAGCCCUACAGAAGGGACAUAAGCCUACAGUGCCUCUUCCCCUACUGCCUUUGCAAAUGUGAUGAAUGCAGUGGCGAAAUGCAGAGCUGGUUCAAAGAUGCUGGAGGCUGUGUACACCACUGGGGAGUUGGUCUGUUGAAGUGAGCUCAGGGCUGGUCAACAUAAUGUCAUUUUACCCCAGGUUACGAACACGUUAGAUCUGAGGUUUAUCUAGUCCCAUAUCCUGUCUCUGACACUAUUUGAAACCAGAUGCUCAGGGGAAGGUGCGAGAACCCUGCAGUGAACAGAUACACGAUCAUCUGUCCCACAUUAAGGGCUCACUCAAAUCCCUUGGAGACAGAGACUGGCUGAAGUCCUGAAGCAUGAGGUUUAGUGUUUCAUCUGAAGUUGUGGUGGGGUUUUGGCUAUUAAGUAUGACAACUCUGACUCCCCUCGAUCCCAUAUAAAUGAUGAAGUCUUGGCCUCAGCUAAUUACCACGGCAACAUGUGCCACACCACAAUAAUUUCAACACUCUGUGAGAAAAUAUUUCCUCUUGCUGGUAUCAAAUUUCCAACCAUUUUGUGCUGAUUAAAUACAGGAGACCCUCAUCAUUGCGGGGGGAUACAAGAAUGUAUCCCCCGUGAAUGGCGAAAUCCAUGAAUAACGUACUGCGAUCACGAACGCAGUGCCCCCAGCAGCUGGGGUGGGGGACACAGCUCCAGUGGCAGCCUCGGGAGCCUGGCAGCAGCCUCGGGAGCCUGGCAGCAGCAAGCACAGAGCUCUCAAGGAGCUCCAGUGUCAGUUGACCUACAGAACUCAGACAGUUUUUCUCCUGGGCACAAGAUAUCUUUCCAUCUCUCGCCCUCCCCUGGAAUCAGCUGGGGGCUUUUGCUUGGGGUUUUUAAUAGAUUGGAACACAUAGGGAUUAGGAGUUGGAAGUUCUCUGUGGUACUGGUGACUCUGAGAUUUGCUCCCCCUGGUGGUCUGGUUAAACCUGGGUGUGUUGACUCCACCAUAAAAUCUUCCCUGGGAAUUUUGCUCCAGGAUAAAGUACUUGGAGUUUUCUAGCAGAUGAGUCUUUCAUUGCCAAGAAAUAUCACAUAUGCAUAUGUGUUACACUUGUACAGGUACUGUAGUCUGUUCUGGGCUCCCGUUUCAAAUAAAUGCAUGCUGGGUAAUA
This is a long non-coding RNA of Alligator mississippiensis (American alligator), 3184 nucleotides long. RefSeq lists it as uncharacterized. NCBI's taxonomy places the organism in Eukaryota, Metazoa, Chordata, Crocodylia, Alligatoridae. The record is from RefSeq and is a predicted model, not a curated record. The transcript is spliced from 2 exons.